RNAcentral lists this ribosomal RNA (79 nucleotides) under Echinops witches'-broom phytoplasma. RNAcentral describes it as "partial 23S ribosomal RNA". Lineage: Bacteria; Bacillati; Mycoplasmatota; Mollicutes; Acholeplasmatales; Acholeplasmataceae. The record is from RNAcentral.
AAGAAAACAAUAGCCAUUUUUAAAGGAAGUAAGGGCGUACAGUGGAUGCCUUGGCACUAAGAGCCGAUGGAAGGGACGA